AUGGCUUGUAAUAACUUCGAACUUUGUUUGUUAUGUCUUAUCAGUCAGAAAGACAUUUGCCCUCUCUAUUUAGGAGGAGAUAUUAACACCUUCUCCUUAAAGUACUUCUACAAUCUCUCCCCAAAGCCCUGUGAGGCAGGAAGUAUUAUUAUAUGCUCGAUCACCUCCCUGAAAUGCCUGUACACCAAUGCACGCAGCAUGGGGAACAAACAGGAAGAACUAGAGAUGUGUGUGCGGUCGCAGGGCCAUGAUCUCAUUGCCAUUACAGAGACAUGGUGGGAUAGCUCGCAUGACUGGAGUGCYGUCAUGGAUGGCUACGUGCUUUUUAGGAAAGACAGGCCAGGAAAGCGAGGUGGUGGAGUUGCUCUUUAUGUGAGAGAGCAACUGGAAUGUAUUGAGCUGUGCCUAGGGGUGGAUGAAGAGCAAGUCGAGAGCUUAUGGGGAAGGAUUAAAGGGCAGGCUAGCAUGGGUGACACUGUUGUGGGUGUUUACUACAGGCCACCUGAUCAGGAAGAGGAAGUUGAUGAGGCCUUCUACAGACAGCUGGAAGUAGCCUCACGAUCCCAGGCCCUGGUUCUCAUGGGGGACUUCAACCACCCCGAUAUCUGCUGGAAAGACAACACAGCUAGGCACAAACAGUCCUGGAGGUUCCUGCAGAGCAUUGGUGACAGCUUCUUGACACAGGUGGUGGAGGAACCAACAAGGAGAGGUGUGCUGCUGGACCUCGUACUAACAAACAAAGAAGGACUGGUGGAAGAUGUGAAGGUCGGGGGCAGCCUUGGCUGCAGUGACCAUGAGAUGGUGGAGUUCAGGAUCCUGCGAGGAGGCAGCAGGGCACUAAGUAGGAUCGCAACCCUGGACUUCAGGAGAGCAAACUUUGGCCUCUUCAGGGACCUACUUGGAGGAAUCCCAUGGGUUAGGGCCCUAGAAGGAAGGGGCGUUCAAGAGAGCUGGUUAAUAUUCAAACAUCACCUCCUCCAGGCUCAAGAGCGGUGCAUCCCUAUGAGUAGGAAGUCAAGCAAAGGAGGUAGGAGACCUGCAUGGAUGAGCAAGCAGCUCCUGGCAAAACUCAGCCAGAAGAAGGAAGUAUACAGAAAGUGGAAAGGGGGAGAGGCCACUUGGGAGGAUUAUAGAAACAUUGUCAGAGUAUGCAGGGAUGUGACGAGGAAGGCUAAGGCCCGUUUGGAAUUAAAUCUGGCAAGAGAUAUCAAGGACAGCAAGAAGGGCUUCUUCAAAUACAUCAGUAGCAAGAGGAAGACUAGGGAAAAUGUGGGCCCGCUGCUGAAUGGGGUGGGUGCCCUGGUGACAAAGGAUGCAGAGAAGGCAGAGUUACUGAAUGCCUUCUUUGCUUCAGUCUUUACUGCUCAGGCCAGCCCUCAGGAACCCCAGACCCUGGAGGCAAGAGAGAAAGUCUGGAGAAAGGAAGACUUUCCCUUGGUGGAGGAGGAUCGGGUUAGAGAUCAUUUAAGCAAACUUGACACCCACAAAUCCAUGGGCCCCAAUGGGAUGCACCCACGAGUGCUGAGGGAGCUGGCGGAUGUCAUUGCUAAGCCACUCUCCAUCAUCUUUGAAAGGUCAUGGAGAACAGGAGAGGUGCCUGAAGACUGGAAGAAAGCCAGUGUCACCCCAGUCUUCAAAAAGGGCAAGAAGGAGGACCCAGGGAACUACAGGCCAGGCAGCCUCACCUGCAUCCCUGGAAAGGUGAUGGAGCAGCUCAUCCUGGAUGUCGUCUCUAAGCAUGUGGAGGAAAAGAAGGUGAUCAGGAGUAGUCAGCAUGGCUUCACCAAGAGGAAAUCAUGCCUAACCAAUCUGAUAGCCUUCUAUGAUGGAAUGACUGGCUGGGUAGAUGAGGGGAGAGCAGUGGAUGUUGUCUACCUAGACUUCAGCAAGGCUUUUGACACUGUCUCCCAUGACAUCUUCAUAGACAAGCUCAGGAAGUGUGGUUUAGAUGAGUGGCCAGUGAGGUGGAUUGAGAACUGGCUGAAUGGCAGAGCUCAGAGAGUUGUGAUCAGAGUCUAG
This 2019-nucleotide long non-coding RNA is filed under the name Apteryx haastii (Great spotted kiwi). Its description in RNAcentral is "lncRNA (ENSAHAG00000003458.1)". The record is from RNAcentral. Lineage: Eukaryota; Metazoa; Chordata; Aves; Apterygiformes; Apterygidae.